GGCUGGGUAGCUCAGUGGUAGAGCACAGGAUUCAUAUCCCUGCGGUCGUGGGUUCAAACCCCACCCCAGCCA
Molecule: transfer RNA, 72 nt
Filed under: Candidatus Levyibacteriota bacterium
Lineage: Bacteria; Candidatus Levyibacteriota
Description: tRNA-Met
Rfam family: tRNA
About the family: Transfer RNA (tRNA) molecules are approximately 80 nucleotides in length. Their secondary structure includes four short double-helical elements and three loops (D, anti-codon, and T loops).
Source: RNAcentral